GGGCCUGACCGGGGAUUGAACCCGGGACCUCUCGCAAACUAUAGUUCUUUAUGAACAGAACUGAGAUGUCACUCCCGAAGCAAGAAUCAUACCGCUAGACCAUCAGGCC
Molecule: transfer RNA, 109 nt
Filed under: Fusarium oxysporum f. sp. vasinfectum
Lineage: Eukaryota; Fungi; Ascomycota; Sordariomycetes; Hypocreales; Nectriaceae
Description: tRNA-Pro
Source: RNAcentral